Unclassified non-coding RNA from Macaca fascicularis (crab-eating macaque), 117 nucleotides. It matches the Rfam family "Metazoan signal recognition particle RNA". Rfam says of the family: The signal recognition particle (SRP) is a universally conserved ribonucleoprotein. It is involved in the co-translational targeting of proteins to membranes. The record is from Ensembl. NCBI's taxonomy places the organism in Eukaryota, Metazoa, Chordata, Mammalia, Primates, Cercopithecidae.
GCUGGGUGUGGUGGCUCACGCCUGUAAUCCCAGUACUUUGGGAGGCUGAGAUGGGUGGAUCACCUGAGGUCAGGAGUUUGAGACCAGCCUGACCAACAUGGAGAAACCCCGUCUCUA